RNAcentral lists this ribosomal RNA (825 nucleotides) under uncultured bacterium. RNAcentral's name for it is "bacterial SSU rRNA". It matches the Rfam family "Bacterial small subunit ribosomal RNA", at positions 59 to 882 of the family's 1533-position model. The record is from RNAcentral.
CAGUCGAACGAAGCACUUUACUUUGAUUCCUUCGGGUUGAUUAGUACUGUGACUGAGUGGUGGACGGGUGAGUAACGCGUGGGUAACCUGCCCCAUACAGGGGGAUAACAGAUAGAAAUGUCUGCUAAUACCGCAUAAGACCACAGCACCGCAUGGUGCAGGGGUAAAAACUCCGGUGGUAUGGGAUGGACCCGCGUCUGAUUAGCUGGUUGGUGAGGUAAAGGCUCACCAAGGCAACGAUCAGUAGCCGACCUGAGAGGGUGACCGGCCACAUUGGGACUGAGACACGGCCCAAACUCCUACGGGAGGCAGCAGUGGGGAAUAUUGCACAAUGGGGGAAACCCUGAUGCAGCGACGCCGCGUGAAGGAUGAAGUAUUUCGGUAUGUAAACUUCUAUCAGCAGGGAAGAAAAUGACGGUACCUGACUAAGAAGCCCCGGCUAACUACGUGCCAGCAGCCGCGGUAAUACGUAGGGGGCAAGCGUUAUCCGGAUUUACUGGGUGUAAAGGGAGCGUAGACGGUAUGGCAAGUCUGAUGUGAAAACCCGGGGCUCAACCCCGGGACUGCAUUGGAAACUGUCGGACUAGAGUGUCGGAGAGGCAAGUGGAAUUCCUAGUGUAGCGGUGAAAUGCGUAGAUAUUAGGAGGAACACCAGUGGCGAAGGCGGCUUGCUGGACGAUGACUGACGUUGAGGCUCGAAAGCGUGGGGAGCAAACAGGAUUAGAUACCCUGGUAGUCCACACUGUAAACGAUGAUAACUAGGUGUGGGGGGUCUGACCCCUUCCGUGCCGCAGCUAACGCAAUAAGUUAUCCACCUGGGGAGUA